UAAUACGGAGGGUGCAAGCGUUAUCCGGAUUCACUGGGUUUAAAGGGUGCGUAGGCGGGUAUGUAAGUCCGUGGUGAAAUCUCCGAGCUUAACUCGGAAACUGCCAUGGGUACUGCGUAUCUUGAAUGUUGUGGAGGUGAGCGGAAUAUGUCAUGUAGCGGUGAAAUGCUUAGAUAUGACAUAGAACACCAAUUGCGAAGGCAGCUCACUACACAAAUAUUGACGCUGAGGCACGAAAGCGUGGGGAUCAAACAGG
RNAcentral lists this ribosomal RNA (256 nucleotides) under uncultured bacterium. RNAcentral describes it as "partial 16S ribosomal RNA". It matches the Rfam family "Bacterial small subunit ribosomal RNA", at positions 521 to 776 of the family's 1533-position model. The record is from RNAcentral.